AUUGAACGCUGGCGGCAUGCCUAACACAUGCAAGUCGAACGGAAACGAUGGGAGCUUGCUCCCAGGCGUCGAGUGGCGGACGGGUGAGUAAUACUUAGGAAUCUACCCAGUAGCGGGGGACAACUCGGGGAAACUCGAGCUAAUACCGCAUACGCUCUACGGAGGAAAGCAGGGGAUCUUCGGACCUUGCACUAUUGGAUGAGCCUAAGUCGGAUUAGCUUGUUGGUGAGGUAAAGGCUCACCAAGGCGACGAUCCGUAGCUGGUCUGAGAGGACGAUCAGCCACACUGGGACUGAGACACGGCCCAGACUCCUACGGGAGGCAGCAGUGGGGAAUAUUGGACAAUGGGGGCAACCCUGAUCCAGCAAUGCCGCGUGUGUGAAGAAGGCCUGCGGGUUGUAAAGCACUUUCAGUAGAGAAGAAAAGCCUAGGGUUAAUACCCCUGAGUCUUGACGUUACCUACAGAAGAAGCUCCGGCUAACUCCGUG
RNAcentral lists this ribosomal RNA (488 nucleotides) under uncultured bacterium. RNAcentral describes it as "bacterial SSU rRNA". It matches the Rfam family "Bacterial small subunit ribosomal RNA", at positions 30 to 507 of the family's 1533-position model. The record is from RNAcentral.